UACGGAGGGAGCUAGCGUUGUUCGGAAUUACUGGGCGUAAAGCGCACGUAGGCGGCUUUGUAAGUUAGAGGUGAAAGCCCAGGGCUCAACCCUGGAAUUGCCUUCGAUACUGUUUGGCUAGAGACCGGAAGAGGUAAGUGGAACUGCGAGUGUAGAGGUGAAAUUCGUAGAUAUUCGCAAGAACACCAGUGGCGAAGGCGGCUUACUGGUCCGGUUCUGACGCUGAGGCGCGAAAGCGUGGGGAGCAAACAGG
This 253-nucleotide ribosomal RNA is filed under the name uncultured bacterium. RNAcentral describes it as "partial 16S ribosomal RNA". It matches the Rfam family "Bacterial small subunit ribosomal RNA", at positions 524 to 776 of the family's 1533-position model. The record is from RNAcentral.